UUAAAUCCCAAACCAAACCGAAAAUACUUUUCCUACCUGUAUGCCGCUCCAAACGAAACGCAUGUCUAAAUGCAGGUUAGAAAAUUAAAAAGCCUGCCUCGAAUAGCCUACCAGCUUGCCUCAAAUAAAGAUGCUGUGCUUUGCAAAAGACCCCAGCCAUAAUUUGAGGAUUUACGCUAAGCAAGUAGCCUGGA
Alosa sapidissima (American shad) is the source of this 194-nucleotide long non-coding RNA. RefSeq lists it as uncharacterized. The record is from RefSeq and is a predicted model, not a curated record. Lineage: Eukaryota; Metazoa; Chordata; Actinopteri; Clupeiformes; Clupeidae. The transcript is spliced from 3 exons.